CCCACACCCAUGUGUGUAAGACCCCAAAGGAUCACCAUUAAAUUUAGCACAAAUCUCUAGAAAAGUUAUCACAUGGGUGUGGGACUUGACUUUUCUAGAGAUCUGUGCCAAAUUUAAUGGCGAUCAUUUAGGGUCCUACAUACAUGAGUGUGGG
Molecule: microRNA precursor, 154 nt
Filed under: Amborella trichopoda
Lineage: Eukaryota; Viridiplantae; Streptophyta; Magnoliopsida; Amborellales; Amborellaceae
Description: MIR8565 microRNA precursor family
Rfam family: MIR8565 microRNA precursor family
Source: Rfam by way of RNAcentral